Molecule: transfer RNA, 67 nt
Filed under: Marmota monax (woodchuck)
Lineage: Eukaryota; Metazoa; Chordata; Mammalia; Rodentia; Sciuridae
Description: tRNA.Ala
Source: RNAcentral
GGAGGUAGCUCAAUGGUAAAGUGCUUGCUUAGCAUGUGCAAAGCCCAGGGUUCAAUCCCCAGCACCA